This 445-nucleotide ribosomal RNA is filed under the name uncultured bacterium. RNAcentral describes it as "partial 16S ribosomal RNA". It matches the Rfam family "Bacterial small subunit ribosomal RNA", at positions 354 to 796 of the family's 1533-position model. The record is from RNAcentral.
GUGAGGAAUAUUGGACAAUGGGCGCAAGCCUGAUCCAGCCAUGCCGCGUGCAGGAAGACGCAUCUAUGGUGUGUAAACUGCUUUUGUACGGGAAGAAACACUCCCUCGUGAGGGAGCUUGACGGUACCGUAAGAAUAAGGAUCGGCUAACUCCGUGCCAGCAGCCGCGGUAAUACGGAGGAUCCAAGCGUUAUCCGGAAUCAUUGGGUUGAAAGGGUCCGUAGGCGGUCUAAUAAGUCAGUGGUGAAAGCCCAUCGCUCAACGAUGGAACGGCCAUUGAUACUGUUAGACUUGAAUUACAAGGAAGUAACUAGAAUAUGUAGUGUAGCGGUGAAAUGCUUAGAUAUUACAUGGAAUACCAAUUGCGAAGGCAGGUUACUACUUGUGGAUUGACGCUGAUGGACGAAAGCGUGGGGAGCGAACAGGAUUAGAUACCCGUGUAGUCC